RNAcentral lists this ribosomal RNA (480 nucleotides) under uncultured bacterium. RNAcentral's name for it is "bacterial SSU rRNA". It matches the Rfam family "Bacterial small subunit ribosomal RNA", at positions 9 to 526 of the family's 1533-position model. The record is from RNAcentral.
GAGUUUGAUCCUGGCUCAGAACGAACGCUGGCGGCAGGCCUAACACAGCAAGUCGAACGUGAAGCCACCUUCGGGUGGUGGAAAGUGGCAGACGGGUGAGUAACGCGUGGGAACGUGCCUUUCGGUUCGGGAUAACCCAGGGAAACUUGGGCUAAUACGGAAUACGCCCUUCGGGGGAAAGAUUCAUCGCCGAAAGAUCGGGCCGCGUCGGAUUAGCUUGUUGGUGGGGUAAUGGCCUACCAAGGCGACGAUCCGUAGCUGGUCUGAGAGGAUGACCAGCCACACUGGGACUGAGACACGGCCCAGACUCCUACGGGAGGCAGCAGUGGGGAAUAUUGGACAAUGGGCGAAAGCCUGAUCCAGCCAUGCCGCGUGGGUGAAGAAGGCCCUAGGGUUGUAAACCCCUUUCAGCGGGGAAGAUAAUGACGGUACCCGCAGAAGAAGCCCCGGCUAACUCCGUGCCAGCAGCCGCGGUAAUAC